AGAGUUUGAUCCUGGCUCAGAAUCAACGCUGGCGGCGUGCCUAACACAUGCAAGUCGCACGAGAAAGGGACUUCGGUCCUGAGUACAGUGGCGCACGGGUGAGUAACACGUGAAUAAUCUACCUCCGAGUGGGGAAUAACUGAGAGAAAUCUUAGCUAAUACCGCAUAACACUUACGAGUCAAAGCAGCAAUGCGCUUGGAGAGGAGUUCGCGGCAGAUUAGUUAGUUGGCGGGGUAAUGGCCCACCAAGACGAUGAUCUGUAUCCGGCCUGAGAGGGCGCACGGACACACUGGAACUGAAACACGGUCCAGACUCCUACGGGAGGCAGCAGUGGGGAAUUUUGCGCAAUGGGGGAAACCCUGACGCAGCAACGCCGCGUGGAGGAUGAAAUCCCUUGGGAUGUAAACUCCUUUCGAUAGGGAAG
RNAcentral lists this ribosomal RNA (425 nucleotides) under uncultured bacterium. RNAcentral's name for it is "bacterial SSU rRNA". It matches the Rfam family "Bacterial small subunit ribosomal RNA", at positions 8 to 447 of the family's 1533-position model. The record is from RNAcentral.